UACGUAGGGCGCGAGCGUUAUCCGGAAUUAUUGGGCGUAAAGAGCUCGUAGGCGGCUUGUCGCGUCUGCUGUGAAAGCCCGGGGCUCAACCCCGGGUCUGCAGUGGGUACGGGCAGGCUGGAGUGCAGUAGGGGAGACUGGAAUUCCUGGUGUAGCGGUGAAAUGCGCAGAUAUCAGGAGGAACACCGAUGGCGAAGGCAGGUCUCUGGGCUGUAACUGACGCUGAGGAGCGAAAGCAUGGGGAGCGAACAGG
Molecule: ribosomal RNA, 253 nt
Filed under: uncultured Sinomonas sp.
Lineage: Bacteria; Bacillati; Actinomycetota; Actinomycetes; Micrococcales; Micrococcaceae
Description: partial 16S ribosomal RNA
Rfam family: Bacterial small subunit ribosomal RNA
Source: RNAcentral